This 402-nucleotide ribosomal RNA is filed under the name uncultured bacterium. RNAcentral describes it as "bacterial SSU rRNA". It matches the Rfam family "Bacterial small subunit ribosomal RNA", at positions 356 to 773 of the family's 1533-position model. The record is from RNAcentral.
GGGGAAUAUUGGGCAAUGGGGGAAACCCUGACCCAGCAACGCCGCGUGAGGGAAGAAGGUUUUCGGAUUGUAAACCUCUGUUCUUGGAGAAGAGAAGAAGACGGUAUCCAAGGAGGAAGCCCCGGCUAACUACGUGCCAGCAGCCGCGGUAAUACGUAGGGGGCGAGCGUUGUCCGGAAUGAUUGGGCGUAAAGGGCGCGUAGGCGGCUGUUCAAGUCAGUAGUGGAAGUCCAGCUUUUAAGGUUGGAAGUGCUAUUGAAACUGAACAGCUUGAGUGCAGGAGAGGUUAUCGGAAUUCCCGGUGUAGCGGUGAAAUGCGUAGAGAUCGGGAGGAACACCAGUGGCGAAGGCGGGUAACUGGACUGCAACUGACGCUGAGGCGCGAAAGUGUGGGGAGCAAAC